This 274-nucleotide ribosomal RNA is filed under the name uncultured bacterium. RNAcentral's name for it is "partial 16S ribosomal RNA". It matches the Rfam family "Bacterial small subunit ribosomal RNA", at positions 523 to 796 of the family's 1533-position model. The record is from RNAcentral.
CUACGGAGGGUGCAAGCGUUAAUCGGAAUUACUGGGCGUAAAGCGCGCGUAGGCGGUUAGAUAAGUCGGAUGUGAAAUCCCUGGGCUCAACCUGGGAACUGCAUUCGAUACUGUCUAACUAGAGUAUGGUAGAGGGAAGUGGAAUUCCGGGUGUAGCGGUGAAAUGCGUAGAUAUCCGGAGGAACAUCAGUGGCGAAGGCGACUUCCUGGACCAAUACUGACGCUGAGGUGCGAAAGCGUGGGGAGCAAACAGGAUUAGAAACCCCAGUAGUCC